Molecule: transfer RNA, 56 nt
Filed under: Parachtes limbarae
Lineage: Eukaryota; Metazoa; Arthropoda; Arachnida; Araneae; Dysderidae
Description: tRNA-Lys
Source: RNAcentral
AGUGUGUUGGCCGAGAUUAGGUUUUAAUUUCUUAAAUUAAAUACGCGUAUUUAGGU